This 270-nucleotide unclassified non-coding RNA is filed under the name uncultured Chaetothyriales. Its description in RNAcentral is "sequence contains 5.8S rRNA gene, ITS2, 28S rRNA gene". The stretch from base 1 to 52 matches the Rfam family "5.8S ribosomal RNA", at positions 103 to 154 of the family's 154-position model. The record is from RNAcentral. Lineage: Eukaryota; Fungi; Ascomycota; Eurotiomycetes; Chaetothyriales.
AACGCACAUUGCGCCCUUUGGUAUUCCGAAGGGCAUGCCUGUUCGAGCGUCAUUUUCACCCCUCAAGCCCCCGGCUUGGUUUUGGACGGUCUGGUUUAGGCACCGCCUAAACCCCUCCUAAAGAUAAUGACGGCGGCCUCGUUGGACCCCCGGUACACUGAGCUUCUUAACUGAGCACGUAUCGGAUCUAGGGUGCGCGGGACACGGUCUUCAACCCCCUUUUUUUCUAAGGUUGACCUCGGAUCAGGUAGGAAUACCCGCUGAACUUAA